RNAcentral lists this ribosomal RNA (265 nucleotides) under uncultured prokaryote. Its description in RNAcentral is "partial 16S ribosomal RNA". It matches the Rfam family "Bacterial small subunit ribosomal RNA", at positions 524 to 788 of the family's 1533-position model. The record is from RNAcentral.
UACGUAGGGGGCUAGCGUUAUCCGGAAUUACUGGGUGUAAAGGGCGUGUAGGCGGGUUUGCAAGUCGGGUGUGAAAGAUCCAGGCUUAACUUGGAGAGGUCAUCCGAAACUGCAGAUCUUGAGUGCUGGAGAGGAUAGCGGAAUUCCUGGUGUAGCGGUAAAAUGCGUAGAUAUCAGGAGGAACACCAGUGGCGAAGGCGGCUAUCUGGACAGUAACUGACGCUGAGGCGCGAAAGCGUGGGGAGCAAACAGGAUUAGAUACCCU